This 484-nucleotide ribosomal RNA is filed under the name uncultured bacterium. RNAcentral describes it as "partial 16S ribosomal RNA". It matches the Rfam family "Bacterial small subunit ribosomal RNA", at positions 29 to 507 of the family's 1533-position model. The record is from RNAcentral.
AUUGAACGCUGGCGGAAUGCUUUACACAUGCAAGUCGAACGGCAGCACGGGGGCAGCCCUGGUGGCGAGUGGCGAACGGGUGAGUAAUACAUCGGAACGUGCCCGGUCGUGGGGGAUAACGUAGCGAAAGUUACGCUAAUACCGCAUACGAUCUGAUGAUGAAAGCGGGGGACCUUCGGGCCUCGCGCGAUCGGAGCGGCCGAUGUCAGAUUAGGUAGUUGGUGGGGUAAAGGCCUACCAAGCCGACGAUCUGUAGCUGGGCUGAGAGGACGACCAGCCACACUGGGACUGAGACACGGCCCAGACUCCUACGGGAGGAAGCAGUGGGGAAUUUUGGACAAUGGGGGAAAGCCUGAUCCAGCAAUACCGCGUGCAGGACGAAGGCCUUCGGGUUGUAAACUGAUUUUGUACGGAACGAAAAGGCUCUGGCUAAUACCUGGGGCUAAUGACGGUACCGUAAGAAUAAGCACCGGCUAACUACGUG